CAGCAGCCACGGUAAUACGUAGGGUGCGAGCGUUAAUCGGAAUUACUGGGCGUAAAGCGUGCGCAGGCGGUUGUGUAAGACAGGUGUGAAAUCCCCGGGCUUAACCUGGGAGCUGCGCUUGUGACUGCACAGCUAGAGUAUGGCAGAGGGGGGUGGAAUUCCACGUGUAGCAGUGAAAUGCGUAGAGAUGUGGAGGAACACCGAUGGCGAAGGCAGCCCCCUGGGCCAAUACUGACGCUCAUGCACGAAAGCGUGGGGAGCAAACAGGAUUAGAUACCCGCGUAGUCCCUGUCUCUUAUAC
RNAcentral lists this ribosomal RNA (301 nucleotides) under uncultured bacterium. RNAcentral describes it as "partial 16S ribosomal RNA". It matches the Rfam family "Bacterial small subunit ribosomal RNA", at positions 509 to 807 of the family's 1533-position model. The record is from RNAcentral.